Molecule: long non-coding RNA, 355 nt
Organism: Fundulus heteroclitus (mummichog)
Lineage: Eukaryota; Metazoa; Chordata; Actinopteri; Cyprinodontiformes; Fundulidae
Exons: 2
Source: RefSeq, a predicted model, not a curated record
UGGGGGCCCGCUGAGAUGCUGGGGGCCCCGCGGCUCCCUGAGGAGGACCGCCGUGACCCGGAGGAGAACCGGUGGCUCGGCUGCUCAGAACCAGACCUGAAGGUGAGAUGCUGAGGAGGCGGAGCUUGGUUCUGGAAGAGCUGCGGUUCUGAUGGACCCGGGCCGACCUGUAAACCUGCUGGGCGUUGAGCUCCUGGAGACGCGGCAGCAGGUGAUGGUCCUCCUUACAUCACUUCCUGUUAGGUCUUCUCUGCAGGUUUCAUGUUUAACGUUUAUUUUCUGUAACCGGAGGAUUUUCUGUGAAUGAUUUCUGCAGCAGCUGGAGACAAAACUUCAAUAAACGACUAAAAAUCCA